Molecule: ribosomal RNA, 120 nt
Filed under: uncultured bacterium
Lineage: Bacteria
Description: partial 16S ribosomal RNA
Rfam family: Bacterial small subunit ribosomal RNA
Source: RNAcentral
AACGAACGCUGGCGGCGUGGAUAAGACAUGCAAGUCGAACGGGACAUUAUUUGUAGCAAUACAGAUGAUGUUCAGUGGCGAAAGGGUGCGUAACACGUGGGCAAUCUACCGAGAAGUGGG